UAACUAUGUUCAUAUUUUAUAUAAAUGAAGUAGAUUAUAUGCGCACCGACUGUUCCUAACGCAAGUAGUAAAAAACUCGAUGAUUGGUAUCCGAGAUCUCAAGUUCUAAUCCUAAUUGAUUCACAUUUUCAGCUAAGUUUGUUUCUUUCACAUUUCCAGCUAAGUUUAUUUCUAAAAGAAAUAAACGAUGAGCUAUCUUUAUAUUAAAAAAUGUAUUUAAGUAUUUGAUUUUUUUUUAAAUUUUGAUUUUGCUAUCUAAUCUUCUAAUUUUUUUGAAUUGAGUCGGUCAAUGAUACUUUUAUUUAAAAAUUUAAAUUAU
This 319-nucleotide long non-coding RNA is filed under the name Ananas comosus (pineapple). RNAcentral's name for it is "long non-coding RNA (ACOM_LNC018689)". The record is from RNAcentral. Lineage: Eukaryota; Viridiplantae; Streptophyta; Magnoliopsida; Poales; Bromeliaceae.